Molecule: ribosomal RNA, 812 nt
Filed under: uncultured bacterium
Lineage: Bacteria
Description: bacterial SSU rRNA
Rfam family: Bacterial small subunit ribosomal RNA
Source: RNAcentral
ACACAUGCAAGUCGAGGGGCAGCAUGAACUUAGCUUGCUAAGUUUGAUGGCGACCGGCGCACGGGUGAGUAACACGUAUCCAACCUGCCGAUGACUCGGGGAUAGCCUUUCGAAAGAAAGAUUAAUACCCGAUGGCAUAGUUCUUCCGCAUGGUAGAACUAUUAAAGAAUUUCGGUCAUCGAUGGGGAUGCGUUCCAUUAGGUUGUUGGCGGGGUAACGGCCCACCAAGCCUUCGAUGGAUAGGGGUUCUGAGAGGAAGGUCCCCCACAUUGGAACUGAGACACGGUCCAAACUCCUACGGGAGGCAGCAGUGAGGAAUAUUGGUCAAUGGACGAGAGUCUGAACCAGCCAAGUAGCGUGAAGGAUGACUGCCCUAUGGGUUGUAAACUUCUUUUAUACGGGAAUAAAGUGAGGCACGCGUGCCUUUUUGUAUGUACCGUAUGAAUAAGGAUCGGCUAACUCCGUGCCAGCAGCCGCGGUAAUACGGAGGAUCCGAGCGUUAUCCGGAUUUAUUGGGUUUAAAGGGAGCGUAGGCGGACGCUUAAGUCAGUUGUGAAAGUUUGCGGCUCAACCGUAAAAUUGCAGUUGAUACUGGGUGUCUUGAGUACAGUAGAGGCAGGCGGAAUUCGUGGUGUAGCGGUGAAAUGCUUAGAUAUCACGAAGAACUCCGAUUGCGAAGGCAGCCUGCUGGACUGUAACUGACGCUGAUGCUCGAAAGUGUGGGUAUCAAACAGGAUUAGAUACCCUGGUAGUCCACACAGUAAACGAUGAAUACUCGCUGUUUGCGAUAUACAGUAAGCGGCCAAGCGAAA